This 544-nucleotide ribosomal RNA is filed under the name uncultured marine eukaryote. RNAcentral describes it as "SSU rRNA". It matches the Rfam family "Eukaryotic small subunit ribosomal RNA", at positions 601 to 1149 of the family's 1831-position model. The record is from RNAcentral.
CGAAUAAAGUUGUUGCGGUUAAAAAGCUCGUAGUUGGAUUUCUGUCGAGGAUGGCCGGUCCGCACUUUGUGCGUGCAUCUGGUUCAGCCUUGGCAUCCUCCUGGGGAACGUAUCUGCGCUUAAUUGCGUGGUGCGGUAUCCAGGACUUUUACUUUGAGGAAAUUAGAGUGUUCACGGCAGGCAAACGCCUUGAAUACAUUAGCAUGGAAUAAUAAUAUAGGACCUUGGUCCCAUUUUGUUGGUUUCUGGAACUGAGGUAAUGAUUAAUAGGGAUAAUUGGGGGCACUCGUAUUAACGCGUCAGAGGUGGAAUUCUUAGAUUGCGUUACGACGAACUACUGCGAAAGCAUUUGCCAAGGAUGUUUUCAUUGAUCAAGAACGAAAGUAUGGGGAUCGAAGACGAUUAGAUACCGUCGUAGUCUAUACCAUAAACUAUGCCAACUAGAGAUUGGAGGUCGUUUUUUUUAUGACUCCUUCGGCACCUUAUGAGAAAUCAAAGUUUUUGGGUUCCGGGGGGAGUAUGGUCGCAAGGCUGAAACUUAAAG